CCUACGGGAGGCAGCAGUGGGGAAUAUUGCGCAAUGGGCGAAAGCCUGACGCAGCGACGCCGCGUGAGGGAUGAAGGUCUUCGGAUCGGAAAACUCUGUCAGCAGGGAAGAACGGUCCCUGUGCUAAUCAGCAGUGAAUUUACGGUACCUGCAAAGGAAGCACCGGCUAACGCCGAGCCAGCAGCCUAGGUAAUACGGAGGGUGCGAGCGUUAAUCGGAAUUGCUGGGCGUAAAGCUCUCGUAGGUUGUGUGUCAAGUCAAGGGUGAAAUCCCCGGGAUGAAACUGUGAAAUGCCUUUGAAACUGGCAAACUGGAGGGUGUGAGAGGAAAGUGGAA
RNAcentral lists this ribosomal RNA (336 nucleotides) under uncultured bacterium. Its description in RNAcentral is "partial 16S ribosomal RNA". It matches the Rfam family "Bacterial small subunit ribosomal RNA", at positions 338 to 666 of the family's 1533-position model. The record is from RNAcentral.